Long non-coding RNA from Chenopodium quinoa (quinoa), 1081 nucleotides. RefSeq lists it as uncharacterized. The transcript is spliced from 4 exons. The record is from RefSeq and is a predicted model, not a curated record. Lineage: Eukaryota; Viridiplantae; Streptophyta; Magnoliopsida; Caryophyllales; Amaranthaceae.
ACAAAUUCUCUCUCCUCGCUCUCUCUCUCCUCCGCGAUUUUCUCUCUGCCUGUGCGUUUCUCUCUCCUUCUCACGGACGCUAUUUUUGUUCUCCUCAAUUAUUUUCAUGCUUCCUCACCUCAAUCAACAACUUGAUUAUAUGGAAUUUGCUACAAUUUACAUAUUGUUUCAAUAAUUUUCUGGAUUCGUUGCAAAAUUUCUCAAUAAUUGAGUUGUUCGAACUAAUUAAUAGCUCGCUCAAAUCAUAAUAAUUGACCAUUUCUCCGCAAAAAAUCGACGAUGAACUCUUAAUUCUUCAACUUUCUUCGAAUUCCAGCAAAUUUGUCCUUAAAUUAGCUUCGAUUUUUGUUUCGGACGAUUUUAUUGAAGAUUCCAAUGCUUAAAGUUGGGGAUUUGUUGAAAAAUUUCUUCUACGACGCUCAAUUCCCACUCAAUCUGCCAAUUCAAGCUCACAAUCAGGUAAGCCUUGGUUAUGAAGUAAGGAGAGAAGCUUGGAAGCUCGAUUCAUGAAGUGCUGCACGACCACAGAGAGGGCGCGCACUGGCAGUAUGCGCGGGCUCCAGUCACUGUGCGCGGGCGCAUACAGAGAACAAAUUGAAGCAUCAAGGAAGGAACUCUGCGCGCCUGAUGCGCGAACAAGGAGAGGGCUCGCAUCCAAGCUGCGCUGGCGCGCAACCACUUUGUGCGGGCGCGUACAGAGUUGAAGAGCCAAUUCCAGAAUAAAGGUAGGGAGUCUGCGUGCCUUGGUCGCGCCUUGAUCGCGGGCGAGCAUCAUAACUGCGCGGGCACGCAUUUAUCCUGCACGGGUGCGCAUAUCUGUGUUUCGCUUUUCAUGCCUAGAUUAUUGUGGGCAUACAGUAAGUUUGCGAGGGCGCGCAUGCUAUGUUGGCUACUCUCAUUUAAGCCUUUGUAUAAAUAGUUUUAAGUCUCUCUCUUUAGCAAUUAAUUAGGAUAUUAGAUUAGCAUAAUAUAGGGUUUUCUUAGCUUAAACUUAGAGAGAGAAACACUUAUAUUGUGAUCUUGGAUGAUUUGUAAUCAACCUUUUUGAAGAUUAAUGAAGCUCUAUUAGUAAUUUCUUUCC